AGCAUCUACAUACAAGAUAUGGCAGGAAGUCAUAGGGGAAGUGCUUGAGAUGGAGGGCACACACACACACACACACACACACACACACACACACACACACACACACACACACACACACACACACACACACACACACACACACACACACACACACACACACACACACACACACACACACA
Long non-coding RNA from Gadus morhua (Atlantic cod), 179 nucleotides. RefSeq lists it as uncharacterized. The transcript is spliced from 2 exons. The record is from RefSeq and is a predicted model, not a curated record. NCBI's taxonomy places the organism in Eukaryota, Metazoa, Chordata, Actinopteri, Gadiformes, Gadidae.